RNAcentral lists this ribosomal RNA (301 nucleotides) under uncultured bacterium. RNAcentral describes it as "partial 16S ribosomal RNA". It matches the Rfam family "Bacterial small subunit ribosomal RNA", at positions 509 to 807 of the family's 1533-position model. The record is from RNAcentral.
CAGUCGCCGCGGUAAUACGUAGGUGGCAAGCGUUGUCCGGAAUUAUUGGGCGUAAAGGGCUCGCAGGCGGUUUCUUAAGUCUGAUGUGAAGGCCCCCGGCUCAACCGGGGAGGGUCAUUGGAAACUGGGAAACUUGAGUGCAGAAGAGGAGAGUGGAAUUCCACGUGUAGCGGUGAAAUGCGUAGAGAUGUGGAGGAACACCAGUGGCGAAGGCGACUCUCUGGUCUGUGACUGACGCUGAGGAGCGAAAGCGUGGGGAGCGAACAGGAUUAGAUACCCGUGUAGUCCCUGUCUCUUAUAC